AUUUAGAUCUAUUAGGUAGUAUUUUAUUUUAAACAAACCUAUAUAAAAUGGCGGCAUUUUAUUUUAUUAGAGGAACAUGUUUUUUAAAUCGACUCCACACGAUUAAUUUUACUUAUUUUUAAAUUUUAUAUACCUCCAUUAAAUAAAUUUAUAAAAAUAUAUUUUUAAAAUAAUAUUCUAAAAAAUUAGGUAAAGGUGUAAACAAUAAAUAAGAAAUAAAUGUGUUACAUUAAACUAAAUUUAAGAAUAAUUUAUUUAAAUUAAUUUGAAAAUGGAUUUAAAAGUAAUACUAAUAUAAUAUAUUAAUAUGAAUAAAUAAAUAAAUGUGU
Molecule: ribosomal RNA, 329 nt
Filed under: Mimetus sp. GH1416
Lineage: Eukaryota; Metazoa; Arthropoda; Arachnida; Araneae; Mimetidae
Description: partial 12S ribosomal RNA
Source: RNAcentral